Long non-coding RNA from Onychostoma macrolepis, 3017 nucleotides. RefSeq lists it as uncharacterized. The transcript has 4 exons. Lineage: Eukaryota; Metazoa; Chordata; Actinopteri; Cypriniformes; Cyprinidae. The record is from RefSeq and is a predicted model, not a curated record.
AGAAUCAGGCUUUAGGUUCAGUUUGACACAUUCAGAUGCUGCUUUACAACAUGACACUUGAUAACAGUAACAACAACACGUGCAGAUUGAUUUAAGUAUAAAUUCUGCAGAUGACAGCUCAGUUACAGACUCAUAAUGUGACUUAAUUUGUAACAGUGAAUGAAGAUGUACAAAUCCACUUUAUCAAAUCCACUGGAAGAGAAGGAGACUUACAGCUCAACUGAAGGCUUUGGGGGAAAAAGUUCCAAUCGAAGCUACAAUCACAGAAGAAAUUUCAAGCAUUCUGUUGCAGUACUGAGCCACCACAUACAAAAACAACCGACACACGCUGUGAUGAAGUGAAGGAAUCGACUGUCACGCGACAAACCUAAUAAGGGAUGUUUGGACCAUUACACCACAACAGAAGCAUGUGGACAGACAUUGACUGUAAUGAUGGACAUCUGCAGAUGCACAGUUAAUGCUUAUGUCUGUGUUUGUAUUCCAGUUUCAUGCAGUCUAUAAACCGCAUUUGAGAGAAUGAGUUCAGGGUCUGGCUAAAUAUUAACAUUUUUGUGUUAAGGUAAAACAUAAGGCUUAUGUAUUGCUGUCAGAUCUCGUUUAUUGAAAAAUCUGUUUACUUGAUGCAAAACUAAUUUGAGUAAAUCAAAUGAAAAAUUCUUAGAUGUGUAUUUGCAAAGCAAGGUAAAUUUGGAAAGUCAAAAUUCUUCAACAAAUCUUCAAAAAGCAAAUCUUCUUGUGUAUUUAAGUAUAUGUAUGUGUGUGUGUGUGUGUGUGUGAAAAUGACACAUGCCAUGGUUCUUAUUUGUCGUUGCUGAUAAAUGAGAUAAAUUAGAAUCCAGUUAAAGAAAUUACUGCUCACCACUGUUUAUUCCCUUUGUUAGUAAGGAAAAAUAAGCUCAAGGAACAGAUGAAUGUGUGUUAGAGAGUGGUACUAGUAAAUACUUAAGGGACGGUUUUUUAGAUACUUUUAAAUUCUGCUAUUCAUUCAUUCAUUCAUUCAUUCAUAUGUACAUUUGGUUUUUCCUUAAAUUGACAUUUAUUAAUUUUAUGAUGCUUUUGGAUCCUAAUUUUGUUUUUAAUUAUUUUUCUUCCCCAAAAUGCAUGCAUUUUCCUUUCCCUAAAUUGACAUUAAUGAAUUUUAAAAUUUUAAGAUUUUAAAUUCUGAUUCUUUUUUCAAUGCGUUUUAUUUUACUUUAUUAUUUUUUAAAAUGUGUGCAUUUGCUUUUUCCUCAAAUACAAAAGAACAUUUGGUAGUGUGAAGCGCUGAUGGUCUAGUGGUCAAGGCAUGGAAGCUGAACCUGCCUCUGCCGCCACGCCCUUUUGUUUGGUGUACCACCCCAGGUACUUCACUGUUGCCACAGUUUUCUUUCUUUGGUGUGUUUCGAACCCAAGCCUCUACCUCAACCAACAUGUGUUUAGCCACUAGUGUGAUCAUGGCUUUCUCGCUGAGAGUUGUCAUUUGGGGCGUUUUGUUGGAUUUAAUGACAGUAAUUUAACAUAAGCAAUAGUGGGAUUUGAACUCAGGUUUCCAAGAUUAAAGUGCAACGCUUUAACAACUGAGCCACCAAGCCAGUGGAAUUGAAAGAUGUUUUGGGUGGAGUUUUAUUGAGUGCUUUGUAUUACAUGACGAAAAACUAGGCAGUUGUGGGUUUUGAACCCACAUCUCAGUCGCAGCCUUAGCUCGAAUAACGUGUUUAACCACUGCGGUUUUCACCAUGGACUUGUCCAUUUAGAGAGCUUCAUUUAAUUUAAUGACAACAAUUUAAAAUAAGUAAGUGGGGAACUUGAACUCAGGUCUCCCAGAUGAAAAUGCAACAAUGUAUCACUUGAGCCACUGCGUCUGUGGCUUUCAGGGGUGCUUUGGGUGGAGUUUAUUGAGUGUUUUGUAAUAUAUGAAGAAAAAUUUUACUUUAGUGGGACUUGAACUCGUCACAGUCACAGCCUUAUCUUCAAUGGCAUGUGUUUAACCACUGCGGCUUUCACUAAAGUUGCGCCCAUGUAGACAACUUCAUUUGGUUUAAUGACAAUUGAAAAUAAGCAAUUGCAAGAUUUGAACUCGGGUCUCUUACAUAAAAACACAAUGCUCUACCACCUGAGCAACUGAGUCUGAUUUAUUAAUUCGGUGUUCGGAUGGGUUUUGUUUAGAGCCCUGUUUUAUAUGGGGAAAUUAUUAGGAAUUAUGGGAUUUAAACCAAGAUUUUAUAUACAACAGGCAAGCAAUGAGCCAAUUUGUGAUGUUGGCUUUGGUUUUAUUUAAGGAUUAUUUACAGUUUCAGCCCAGUUACCAAUUAAAAAAAAAAAAAAGUGGGAUUUGAACUCAGGGCUCCAUGAUUAAAACACAAAGCUCUAUUAACUGAGCCACUGAGUCUAUCAGUUUGCAUGAGUGUUUUGGACAGGGUUUGUUAAGAGAGAUGUUUUAUAUGAUGACAAAGAAUAGAAAUUAGGAUUGCUAAUUAGAAUUUGAAACAAGAUUUUACAUAGGCAAGCAAUUAGCCAAUUUGUGAUGUUGGCUUUAGUUUUUAAGGUUUAUUUACUCAUUUACCUGAGUUAAAGCAUUAAAUUAAUUGCAAAAUCAAGAGUGGGAUUAGAACUCAGGACUUAACAAAACCUGUCCAAAACACACAAGCAAUUUGUCAAAUUCUGUGGCUCAGGUGACAGAGCGCUGUGUUUUAAUCUUGGAGUCCUGAGUUCAAAUCCCGCUCUCACUUUUGUAAUUAAGCGCUUUAACUAAGCUAUAUAAAAAAAAAAAAAAGUUAAGCCUAAAAACUAUAGUUUACAUCACAAAUUUGCUAAUUGGUUCUCGCUUUUGCAAUUAAUUUAAUGCUUUAACUCAGGUAAAACAGUAAAUAACCCUAAAACACUAAAGCCAACAUCACAAAUUGGCUAAUUGCUUGCCUACUGUAUGUAAAAUCUUGGUUCAAAUCCUAUAAUUGCUAAUGUUUAUCAUCAUAUGAAACUGCUCUCUUAACAAAACAAUUUGUCAGACUCAGUGGCUCAGGUGAGAUGAAUUCACAGCC